This 1572-nucleotide ribosomal RNA is filed under the name marine metagenome. RNAcentral describes it as "bacterial LSU rRNA". It matches the Rfam family "Bacterial large subunit ribosomal RNA", at positions 756 to 2429 of the family's 2925-position model. The record is from RNAcentral.
GUAACACUUGCCGGAGGACCGAACCAGUUGACGUUGAAAAGUCUUUGGAUGACUUGUGGUAAGGGGUGAAAGGCCAACCAAAUUCGUAGAUAGCUGGUUUUCCGCGAAAACUAUUUAGGUAGUGCGUUGAAUAAAUAUGCGUUUAGAGGUAGAGCACUAAAUGGGCUAGGGGGAAGAGAUUCUUACCAAACCUAAUAAAACUCCGAAUGCUAAACGUAGUUCUUCAACAGACAGACUGUGGGUGCUAAGGUCCAUGGUCGAGAGGGAAAGAGCCCAGACCACCAGAUAAGGUCCCAAAAUUAUGAUUAAGUGUGAAAGGAUGUGGAAAUUCCUUAACAGCCGGGAGGUUGGCUUAGAAGCAGCCAUCCUUUAAAGAUAGCGUAACAGCUCACCGGUCUAAUAGAGUUUCUGCGCCGAAGAUGUAACGGGGCUAAAAUCAUAUACCGAAUCUGUGGGUUUAUAAAAUUUUCGAAUUUUAUAAGCGGUAGCGGAACGUUCUGUAAGCCUGCGAAGGAAUACCCGUGAGGGAUUCUGGAGGUAUCAGAAGUGCGAAUGCUGACAUAAGUAACGAUAAAUGAAGUGAAAAACUUCAUCGCCGAAAAUCCAAGGGUUUCUGCGCAAGGUUAAUCCGCGCAGAGUUAGUCGGCACCUAAGGCGAGGGCGAAAGCCGUAGUCGAUGGAAAUAAGGUUAAUAUUCCUUAACCAGAUGGUAGUGACGGAUCUUGUAAGUUGUAAGUUCUUAAUGGAUUGAACUUGCCGUGAAAAAGUUCCAGGAAAUAGCUCCAUCAUUAGACCGUACCCUAAACCGACACAGGUGGAUUAAUAGAGUAUAUUUAGGCGCUUGAGAGAAUGAUGUUGAAGGAACUCGGCAAAAUGCUUCUGUAACUUCGGGAUAAAGAAGACCUUUUUGUAGGCAACUAUAAAAAGGUGGCACAAGCCAGGGAGAAGCGACUGUUUAUCAAAAACACAGGGCUCUGCUAACACGUAAGUGGAUGUAUAGGGUCUGACGCCUGCCCGGUGCUGGAAGGUUAAUGCGAUGGGUGCAAGCCCAUUUCUGAAGCCCCAGUAAACGGCGGCCGUAACUAUAACGGUCCUAAGGUAGCGAAAUUCCUUGUCGGGUAAGUUCCGACCUGCAUGAAUGGCGUAACGAUUUCUCCGCUGUCUCCAACAUCAACUCAGUGAAAUUGAAUUCUCCGUGAAGAUGCGGAGUUCGCGUAGUUAGACGGAAAGACCCCGUGCACCUUUACUGCAACUUUACAUUGGUGUUAGGAGAAACAUAUUUAGCAUAGGAGGGAGACUUUGAAGCAGAGGCGUCAGCUUUUGUGGAGUCGCCAGUGAAAUACCUCUUUUGUUUUUCUUGGCAUCUAACUGAUUGCCGUCAUCCGGCAUCAAGACAUUGUAUGGUGGGUAGUUUGACUGGGGCGGUCGCCUCCCAAAUAGUAACGGAGGCGUGCGAAGGUAGGCUCAGAACGGUCAGAAAUCGUUCGUGGAGUGCAAUGGCAUAAGCCUGCCUGACUGUGAGACUGACAAGUCGAGCAGAGUCGAAAGACGGUCAUAGUGAUCCGGUGGUUC